UCCAAGUUAGCAGUUUUUGCAAAACAAUCCGUCACGCAAAUAAAACAGUCCACGCGAGAUACACGCGAAGCGGCAAAUCAGCUUCUAAGUGGCUUCAAACAAGUCUAGGUUUGUUUAUAAUGAGUUAGCCUUCCAGUUAUUGUAGAGUUCACUGUGGGGGACAGAUUUUUCGCUGAGUGGCGCUUCUGUUACGUAUCUAUUCUGUGUUCAGACGGAAUUGAAUUAUACAUACGAGCCGGCGAUAUUAAUAACUAGCCGGCUAAAAUGUACGUACGCUGAAGUUAUACACAUACUUUUAUACUCGUAAUUUUGAUGACGCUCAAGUCAACUUCAACAUGGCUGCCGUGAUGAGGAAGAGACAUAUGACUGUUGCAGAAGCUAUUGAAGCCUUUGAUGAAGUGAAUGAUGAAAUACCAUCUGGUAGUGAUGAUGAAAAUUUGAGUGAGAAUGAUGAUCUCCUGAAAAUCAGGAAUAAUUUUGAUUUUGGGGCUGAAAACCAUGUUGAAGAAGAUGAAUAUUCCUCAGAUAAUGAACCGAGCCCUUGUGAACGAAAAAGGAAAAAGAAACCUGAAAUUUAAUUUCUGUUAUAUGCAUGUGGCUACCUAACUAUAUUCAUUUCUUCAUUGGGACUUUUUCAAUUCUUCAGAAUUUGGAAUUGAAUAAAGAAAGACCUGCCAGAACACGUAAACUCUGACAACCUAUUUAUUCCCAAAGACCAGCUCUAAAUGCCAAAACCCCAUUUGAUAUGUUCAUUGCUCAUUGUGCUGAAGAGACAUUGAGCUGCUUGCUCUUGAAAGUAAUCGGUACCGACUGCAAGUUGGAAGGAGUCAUGCCAAGAUUGUAUCUGUAAAAGAAUGCGUAUCUUUGUUGGAAUUUUCUUUUACAUGAGUAUUGUUUCCUUGCCUGCCAAACACAUGUAUUUGUCACCAAAGACAAGAGUAACAGCUGUUGCAAAUCUAAUAACCUUUAACAGGUUUGAAAAAAUUUUGUCUUUAUUGUAUUCAGACGACUAUGAACUAAUGAAGAACAGAGGCGAACCAGGUGAUGAUCGACUUCACAAAGUCAGAUCGCUGAUGAAUAUUAUUUCUGCAUCCUUUGAAAAUUGUGCUGAACCUGAAUUAGUUGUAGCAGUGGAUGAACAAAUAGUUCCAUUUAAGGGCCACUACAGCUUAAAAAUUUACAGGAAUAAGAAGCCGAAGAAGUGGGGCUACAAAAUAUGGGUCUUGGGAGAAGUCUGUAUAUGUUCACAAGUUUUAUGUUGCAGGAGGCAGUACAGUGGAAACACACAAUGCUGAUCUUGGCAAAGCUAUUGAAUUGCUUGCAGAGCUUCACAGACUGAACAUUCAUGCCACCUCCACUCUUCGUGCAGACAGAAAAAGAAAGUGCCCUCUCAAAUGCAAAAGAGACGUUGAGAAGGAGGCGCAUGUGAUUACAGACUUGAGCAGAAUGAUGGAAUUUAUCUACUUGGUAUGCACUUUAUAACACAUAGUAAAAUUAUUAAAUGGCCAAAAUUUUGACUGGAAUGACUUUACUAACACAAAUUAAGUCUACAUAUUAAUUUUCAGCAGACAAAAAUUAUUUCGUCAUGUGUCAUGCAAUAAAAAAGGGAUAUACACAUAUCUUUCGUCUCUUGUUCCGACAUGUUGAACUAUUCAUGAUUACCCAAACUGCCAGUUAUACGUCUGCAAUUUUUGUUUAAUUUAUCUAUGAUCAAUACCCAGAUCAUGACUUUCAUAGCAUUAUAAUAGUUUAUUUCUUUAGCAAUCUUUGUUAUUACAGUUAGUGGACUGAGAAAAAUUGAAUAGCAAGGUCAACUCAGAGGCCUGCCACGCUACUUGUACUGAUUGCAUUGUACAUAACAUAUAUCUCGUAUUUACGACACGUCUGUUUCUAGUUUUGGGCAAAAAGGCCGUACUGGUAUGCUUUUUUCAAUAACAUUUCAAAAAGUUUAUAU
This is a long non-coding RNA of Xenia sp. Carnegie-2017, 1954 nucleotides long. RefSeq lists it as uncharacterized. The record is from RefSeq and is a predicted model, not a curated record. Lineage: Eukaryota; Metazoa; Cnidaria; Anthozoa; Malacalcyonacea; Xeniidae. The transcript has 3 exons.